CUAUCUGAAGCUGUCUUCUGGGCUGCGGUCCUCAUUUUGCCCCCAAAUAAAACCUAAAUCACAGCUCUCACCUUGUGCAAAUUGUUUUCAACACCAGCAUAAGCGCCUCUGUCUAAACCUGCUCUCUGCACAAAGAUGGAGGAUAGGAAGUUUUUCUUUCUUCCACACCACCUGAACUGAGACCAGUGUCUCUUCCAACACAAAAGACUGCUUGGAGCCUGUUUCUACUGGCGUGAAAAAAGAAAGAACUUACCUGGGCUCUGAGAAGCCUUGCACAGUUGGCCUGGACUCUGUCCUGUCUUGUACGGAUUUACUAAAUUCCUGGAGCUUGGGUUCCCACACCCAGGAGAGGCAUUUGUUUGUCUCUCCACACAGAACACCCAGCAUCUUCAGAGGGGUCAGGGUGUGGUGGGAGAGGGGUUCAGGAGUCUUAGCUUCCUUUAGAGAGUUCACCCAGCUUGUCUGGGGAAGAAGAGCAAAAAGACAACAGAAGGAUACAUUCCGGAAGUCUCUCCUGUCACUAGAGGGGCACACAAGUGGCCAGAGAAAGCCUCUUUUUCGUGGAACGUUCCAGGUCAACCCUUGCCUCACCUUCUCUCCCAGCUGGGAGUUAUGAGCACAGUCUUUCCCAGUUGACUGACUCUUUUCUGCCAGGAAGGAGACUAAAGGAUUCUUCUGGAGACCCGGGUCAAGAGAAAGUCCUACUGAUGUAGAAGUUCGGUUUCCACAAAGAAAGGCACAGCAGAGGUCCUCAGCAUUGGGUACACACAGAAAUCAACGGGUGCUUUAAAAAUUGCUAAUGCCGGGUCCCACCCCCCACAAGUCUGAUUUAGCUGUUUCGCAGUGAGAACAGGUAUCGGGCGGUUCGAGAGCUCCCCAGCUGAUUCUAACAUGCAACCAAGCUGAGCACUCUGCUGGCUGCCAGUGAAGCUCAGUCGCUAAGCUCCACCCACUGCUCAGUUUCCAGUCUGAUUUUUGACGCCUGUCCCCCAAAAUGGGAGCCGACAAGCAUCAUCAGAUAUCUGAGAAACAGAUGAGGCCAAAACUAACAGAAAGCAACUGCGAGGGCCACACCCUGGUGGCUCAGUGGUAAAGAAUCCACCUGCCAAUGCAGGAGACAUGAGUUCAGUUUCCAGGUUGGGAAGAGUCCCUGGAGAAGGAAAGAUGGGUGCAGGCCUGCCUGGACCUGGCAGCUGUGCCACAGCUCUACCUAGUUAUUGCCAAGCAGGAAUGUGAGCUCCAUGGCACCAUUUUUGUUGUGAUUUUUUUGUUUUUUUGUUUUUUUGAGAAAAACUAAAACUUGGGUUUUGAGGGCUCAGUCAGUAAAGUAUUCACCUGCUAAUGCAGGAACCCUGGGUUUGACCCCUCGGACAGGAAGAUACCCUAGAGAAGAAAAUGGCAACCCAUGCCAGUUUUUCUUGUCUGGGAAAUGCCAUGGACAGAGGAGCCUGGCAGGCUACCAACAGCGGCAUUGCAAAACAGCUGGACACAACUUAGCACCUAAACAACAAAACUUUAAAAGGAACAUUGAGAAAACAGAGCUCUUAAAAAUUAAAACUAUUAUCACAGAAAUGAAAUUCAAGAUUAGAG
Molecule: long non-coding RNA, 1590 nt
Filed under: Capra hircus (goat)
Lineage: Eukaryota; Metazoa; Chordata; Mammalia; Artiodactyla; Bovidae
Description: lncRNA (ENSCHIG00000001497.1)
Source: RNAcentral